UCCCUGGUGGCCUAGAGAUUAAGGAUCCAGCGUUGUCACUGCUGUGGUGCAGGUUCCAUUCCUGGCUGGGGAA
RNAcentral lists this transfer RNA (73 nucleotides) under Sus scrofa (pig). It matches the Rfam family "tRNA". Rfam says of the family: Transfer RNA (tRNA) molecules are approximately 80 nucleotides in length. Their secondary structure includes four short double-helical elements and three loops (D, anti-codon, and T loops). Lineage: Eukaryota; Metazoa; Chordata; Mammalia; Artiodactyla; Suidae. The record is from Rfam by way of RNAcentral.